AUCACCAUAAUCACCAGACUACAGUACACAUCACCAUCAUCACCAGACUACAGUACACAUCACCAUCAUCACCAGACUACAGUACACAUCACCAUCAUCACCAGACUACAGUACACAUCACCAUCAUCACCAGACUACAGUACAUGUCACCAUCACCCUCAUCAGGCUACAGUACACGUCACCAUCACCCUCACCAGACUACAGUACACAUCACCCUGAUCAGACUACAGUACAUGUCACCAUCACCCUCAUCAGACUACAGUACACAUCACCAGACUACAGUACACAUCACCAUCAUCACCAGACUACAGUACACAUCACCAUCAUCACCAUCAUCACCAGACUACAGUCACCAUCACCAUCAUCACCAGACUACAGUCACCAUCACCAUCAUCACCAGACUCAGUACACAUCACCAUCAUCACCAGACUACAGUACACAUCACCAUCAUCACCAGACUACAGUACACAUCACCAUCAUCACCAGACUACAGUACACAUCACCAUCAUCACCAGACUACAGUACACAUCACCCUGAUCAGACUACAGUACACAUCACCCUGAUCAGACUACAGUACAUGUCACCAUCACCCUCAUCAGGCCACAGUACACGUCACCAUCAUCACCAGACUACAGUACACAUCACCCUGAUCAGACUACAGUACAUGUCACCAUCACCAUCAUCACCAGACUACAGUCACCAUCAUCACCAGACUACAGUACACAUCACCCUGAUCAGACUACAGUACAUGUCACCAUCACCCUCAUCAGGCUACAGUACACGUCACCAUCAUCCUCACUGUAGUCAGCACAGUGUCAUAACCGUAACUAUGUCAACUCCAUAACCAGGCAUUCCCGUAACCCACUAUGUCAUAACCGUAACUAUGUCAUCAUAACCAUAACUAUGUCAACUCCAUAACCAGGCAUUCCCAUAACCCACUGUGUCAUAACCAUAACUAUGUCAUCAUAACCAUAACUAUGUCAACUCCAUAACCAGGCAUUCCCAUAACCCACAGUGUCAUAACCGUAACUAUGUCAACUCCAUAACCAGGCAUUCCCAUAACCCACAGUGUUAUAACCGUCACUAUGUCAACUCCAUAACCAGG
Molecule: long non-coding RNA, 1105 nt
Organism: Oncorhynchus tshawytscha (Chinook salmon)
Lineage: Eukaryota; Metazoa; Chordata; Actinopteri; Salmoniformes; Salmonidae
Source: Ensembl